GACGAACGCUGGCGGCGUGCUUAACACAUGCAAGUCGAACGGAAAGGCCCUGCUUUUAUGGGGUGCUCGAGUGGCGAACGGGUGAGUAACACGUGAGUAACCUGCCCUUGACUUUGGGAUAACUUCAGGAAACUGGGGCUAAUACCGGAUAGGAGCUCCUGCUGCAUGGUGGGGGUUGGAAAGUUUCGGCGGUUGGGGAUGGACUCGCGGCUUAUCAGCUUGUUGGUGGGGUAGUGGCUUACCAAGGCUUUGACGGGUAGCCGGCCUGAGAGGGUGACCGGCCUCAUUGGGACUGAGAUACGGCCCAGACUCCUACGGGAGGCAGCAGUGGGGAAUAUUGCACAAUGGGCGGACGCCUGAUGCAGCAACGCCGCGUGCGGGAUGACGGCCUUCGGGUUGUAAACCGCUUUCGCCUGUGACGAAGCGUGAGUGACGGUAAUGGGUAAAGAAGCACCGGCUAACUACGUG
RNAcentral lists this ribosomal RNA (468 nucleotides) under uncultured bacterium. RNAcentral's name for it is "partial 16S ribosomal RNA". It matches the Rfam family "Bacterial small subunit ribosomal RNA", at positions 28 to 507 of the family's 1533-position model. The record is from RNAcentral.